GAGGAAAGUCCGGGCUCCUUCGGACAGGGCGCCAGGUAACGCCUGGGGGGCGUGAGCCCAUGGAAAGUGCCACAGAAAAUAUACCGCCAGCUUUGGCUGGUAAGGGUGAAAUGGUGCGGUAAGAGCGCACCGCGCAACUGGUAACAGGUGUGGCAUGGUAAACCCCGCUCGGAGCAAGACCAAAUAGGGGGACGUUAUGCGUGGUCCGCGCUGUUCCCGGGUAGGUCGCUUGAGGUACAUGGUGACAUGUUACCCAGAUGAAUGAUUGCCCACGACAGAAUCCGGCUUA
RNAcentral lists this RNase P RNA (289 nucleotides) under unidentified bacterium SM-A76. RNAcentral describes it as "partial RNAase P". It matches the Rfam family "Bacterial RNase P class A", at positions 43 to 351 of the family's 367-position model. From Rfam's summary of the family: Ribonuclease P (RNase P) is a ubiquitous endoribonuclease, found in archaea, bacteria and eukarya as well as chloroplasts and mitochondria. Its best characterised activity is the generation of mature 5'-ends of tRNAs by cleaving the 5'-leader elements of precursor-tRNAs. The record is from RNAcentral.